Molecule: long non-coding RNA, 1709 nt
Organism: Stegastes partitus (bicolor damselfish)
Lineage: Eukaryota; Metazoa; Chordata; Actinopteri; Pomacentridae
Exons: 2
Source: RefSeq, a predicted model, not a curated record
UCCAUGUUUCGUGCCAGUCCGCCCGUUGUCCUGAAUCCACAGCUGGUGUGAUGAACCGUGACAUCUGCUCCACAGCUUCUCUUGUUUCUUCAUGUUAGUGAUGCGAGGCCACAAUGUCGUUCCCACUCAUUGAUAACUGGUGGCCACCAGUUAUUAAUGAGUGGGAACGAGUUAUUUUUAUUUCUGGGCUCUGUAGGUUGAACAGAACCCUGCAGCGUUUCAUGUUCUAAUGCAGCACCUGUAUAGAAACAGGACCGGACGGAGCGUUGAAGGAUUGUUUUCUGUUGUGUGACCCAAAUGCACCUCCUGCAGUAAACCUGGACCACUCCUCCUCCUCAGGAUGAAGGUUUGUGGUCCAGGCCUCCAUGUUCUGAAUCAUCUGCUUCAGCUGCUGCAGACGCAUGACAGAGGUUUUAAUCCGUUAAAUGAGAAAAGUUCUGGAUGUGAUUCUGUUGUUUCUGGACGACUUUAAACCAGGAAAACAACAAACUGUGACUCUUACAGGUUUCUGAUAUUUACUGUUAAUGAGGAAUUAAAUCUGGAUUAAGAACAAGUCGGAACGUCACAUUCAGGAAAAACUCUUCGAUCCACAACAAAACGCUGAACAGAAUCAGAACCAGGCUGAAAUGAUGUCAGUGGUCGUGGACUUUAUUCACUUGUUUUCAGAAAGUUUUACUUUUGUGAGUCAAUAAAGGAAGAAAAGCACAAAAUAAGACUCAAAACGACAAAAGUCAGACACAGAAGAACAGAAUCGACUCAUCAUGACAACAUGAUCUCUGGAUGAAAUAUUCAACUUCUUUUAACAUCUUUUUGUUCAUGGAUUCUAAUAUUUAAAAUAAGAACAAGUUACUUUCAGAUGAACACAUAAAAUUCUCCAAACAGUCGAUCAGAUCAGAGUCAGGCUGAAUUUUCUCAGAAUAUUAAUGAUUUUAUUCUCCUUAAACCUCCAUAAACCACCACAGAGACCAAGCGCCGGACGCUCAGACGGUUUCCUACAGUCUGGUUCUUGUAUCGUUGCUUUAAAGUGCAGCUUAAACAUCAUUUUCAUCACUAACGCGUCUGCAGAGUUUAUUUUCAGUUCAUCACUAAAUCUUCUAUGAAGCAUCAGAAAACUGGACGAUUUGCAGCUUCUGACGGUUUAACAAAGACAAACCUGGAAACGUGAAGCGAUGACUGGACUGUCACCAAUCAACCUGCAGUGAACUGACUCUGAUGAGCUGCAGGAAGCUGAUGAAGGUUAAAACAUCACAGAGACACAAAACAACCACAACAGACUGAGAAACACACAGUGUGACAGGAAACGGGUCCAGAUGUGAGACGUUUGUCGACCCGGUGAGGACGGACAGCCUUUAGGUUUCUACAGUCAGACAUGAAUAAAGACUCGACCCUGAUCCAUUAAAGUCUCCGUCCUGUUAGUCUGCUGUUUGUCCACAUGGUGGCGCUGCAGUCUGCCGCUGCAGGUAGUUUAGUUCUGAGCUGGUUCCUGCAGCAGUUUGUUCAGACUGCAGGUUUUCUGUUUCUGUGACAAACUGAACCAACGUCCAGAGAAAUCGACGACUUAACGAGUUCAUGGAGCGAAGACGAAGAUCUACUGGUGGAGUCUGAUCCUGAACACCACCUCCUGGACCAAAAAUAUCCACAUCUGAGGAGCUGAAAGUUUACUUAUUUAAAUAAAAGAUCAUAAAAUAAAAUAACUGAUUGACAUGUCA